Molecule: ribosomal RNA, 123 nt
Filed under: Larimichthys crocea (large yellow croaker)
Lineage: Eukaryota; Metazoa; Chordata; Actinopteri; Sciaenidae
Source: RNAcentral
GCUUACGGCCAUGCCACCCUGAAUGCGCCCGAUCUCAUCUGAUCUCUGAAGCUAAGCAGCGUCAGGCCUGGUUAGUACUUGGAUGGGUGACCGCCUGGGAAUGGCUCAUGACCCUCCCAAGUC